RNAcentral lists this long non-coding RNA (254 nucleotides) under Lathyrus oleraceus (garden pea). RNAcentral describes it as "Pisum sativum (pea) long non-coding RNA (PSAT_LNC041779)". The record is from RNAcentral. Lineage: Eukaryota; Viridiplantae; Streptophyta; Magnoliopsida; Fabales; Fabaceae.
AAUAAAAACGAGACAAUAAAAAUAGAGAAAAAAAUGAAAUAAUAUAAUAACAAGAAAACAAGGUAAUAAAAAUAAAAACAAUAAAAUAAUAACAAUGACAAAAACAAUGAUGAUAAAAAGACUAAAAUGGAAAAUAAUAGUAAAUAUGAAAAAUGAAAAACAAUAAUGAAAAGACAAAAAUAAAAUAGUAAUAAUGACAUAAUGGAAAAAAAACAAGAUAAUGGUAAAGAUAAAAAUAAAAAUAAAAGAAUGUA